UACGUAGGGUGCAGGCGUUAAUCGGAAUUACUGGGCGUAAAGCGUGCGCAGGCGGUCUUUUAAGUCAGAUGUGAAAUCCCCGGGCUUAACCUGGGAGCUGCGUUUGAAACUGGAAGGCUUGAGUGUGGCAGAGGGGGGUGGAAUUCCACGUGUAGCAGUGAAAUGCGUAGAGAUGUGGAGGAACACCGAUGGCGAAGGCAGCCCCCUGGGCUAACACUGACGCUCAUGCACGAAAGCGUGGGGAGCAAUCAGG
RNAcentral lists this ribosomal RNA (253 nucleotides) under uncultured bacterium. RNAcentral's name for it is "partial 16S ribosomal RNA". It matches the Rfam family "Bacterial small subunit ribosomal RNA", at positions 524 to 776 of the family's 1533-position model. The record is from RNAcentral.